GACGAACGCUGGCGGCGUGCUUAACACAUGCAAGUCGAACGGAAAGGCCCUGCUUUUGUGGGGUGCUCGAGUGGCGAACGGGUGAGUAACACGUGAGUAACCUGCCCUUGACUUUGGGAUAACUUCAGGAAACUGGGGCUAAUACCGGAUAGGAGCUCCUGCUGCAUGGUGGGGGUUGGAAAGUUUCGGCGGUUGGGGAUGGACUCGCGGCUUAUCAGCUUGUUGGUGGGGUAGUGGCUUACCAAGGCUUUGGCGGGUAGCCGGCCUGAGAGGGUGACCGGCCACAUUGGGACUGAGAUACGGCCCAGACUCCUACGGGAGGCAGCAGUGGGGAAUAUUGCACAAUGGGCGGAAGCCUGAUGCAGCAACGCCGCGUGCGGGGUGACGGCCUUCGGGUUGUAAACCGCUUUCGCCUGUGACGAAGCGUGAGUGACGGUAAUGGGUAAAGAAGCACCGGCUAACUACGUGCCAGCAGCCGCGGUGAUACGUAGGGUGCGAGCGUUGUCCGGAUUUAUUGGGCGUAAAGGGCUCGUAGGUGGUUGAUCGCGUCGGAAGUGUAAUCUUGGGGCUUAACCCUGAGCGUGCUUUCGAUACGGGUUGACUUGAGGAAGGUAGGGGAGAAUGGAAUUCCUGGUGGAGCGGUGGAAUGCGCAGAUAUCAGGAGGAACACCAGUGGCGAAGGCGGUUCUCUGGGCCUUUCCUGACGCUGAGGAGCGAAAGCGUGGGGAGCGAACAGGCUUAGAUACCCUGGUAGUCCACGCUGUAAACGGUGGGUACUAGGUGUGGGGUCCAUUCCACGGGUUCCGUGCCGUAGCUAACGCUUUAAGUACCCCGCCUGGGGAGUACGGCCGCAAGGCUAAAACUCAAAGGAAUUGACGGGGCCCCGCACAAGCGGCGGAGCAUGCGGAUUAAUUCGAUGCAACGCGUAGAACCUUACCUGGGUUUGACAUGGAUCGGGAGUGCUCAGAGAUGGGUGUGCCUCUUUUGGGGUCGGUUCACAGGUGGUGCAUGGCUGUCGUCAGCUCGUGUCGUGAGAUGUUGGGUUAAGUCCCGCAACGAGCGCAACCCUUGUUCACUGUUGCCAGCACGUUAUGGUGGGGACUCAGUGGAGACCGCCGGGGUCAACUCGGAGGAAGGUGGGGAUGACGUCAAGUCAUCAUGCCCCUUAUGUCCAGGGCUUCACGCAUGCUACAAUGGCUGGUACAGAGAGUGGCGAGCCUGUGAGGGUGAGCGAAUCUCGGAAAGCCGGUCUCAGUUCGGAUUGGGGUCUGCAACUCGACCUCAUGAAGUCGGAGUCGCUAGUAAUCGCAGAUCAGCAACGCUGCGGUGAAUACGUUCCCGGGGCU
This 1346-nucleotide ribosomal RNA is filed under the name uncultured bacterium. RNAcentral's name for it is "partial 16S ribosomal RNA". It matches the Rfam family "Bacterial small subunit ribosomal RNA", at positions 28 to 1381 of the family's 1533-position model. The record is from RNAcentral.